CAGAAGGUAGUUUAAUUAAAAUACUAGUUUUGGGGAUUAGAGAAAGAUGUAGUUUAUUUUCUUCUGA
Molecule: transfer RNA, 67 nt
Filed under: Hemigyrus spinosus spinosus
Lineage: Eukaryota; Metazoa; Arthropoda; Insecta; Orthoptera; Tettigoniidae
Description: tRNA-Pro
Source: RNAcentral